This 497-nucleotide ribosomal RNA is filed under the name uncultured bacterium. RNAcentral's name for it is "partial 16S ribosomal RNA". It matches the Rfam family "Bacterial small subunit ribosomal RNA", at positions 30 to 523 of the family's 1533-position model. The record is from RNAcentral.
AUUGAACGCUGGCGGCAGGCCUAACACAUGCAAGUCGAGCGUGAAAGUCCUUCGGGAUGAGUAAAGCGGCGGACGGGUGAGUAACGCGUAGGAAGCUACCCGAUAGAGGGGGAUACCAGUUGGAAACGACUGUUAAUACCGCAUAAUGUCUACGGACCAAAGUGUGGGACCUUCGGGCCACAUGCUAUCGGAUGCGCCUACGUGGGAUUAGCUAGUUGGUGAGGUAAUGGCUCACCAAGGCGACGAUCCCUAGCUGGUUUGAGAGGAUGAUCAGCAAAACUGGAACUGAGAAACGGUCCAGACUCCUACGGGAGGCAGCAGUGGGGAAUAUUGGACAAUGGGCGCAAGCCUGAUCCAGCCAUGCCGCGUGUGUGAAGAAGGCCUUCGGGUUGUAAAGCACUUUCAGUAGGGAGGAAGCGUUGAGUGUUAAUAGUACUCAGCGUUGACGUUACCUACAGAAGAAGCACCGGCUAACUCUGUGCCAGCAGCCGCCGUAA